GGGCGUUAAGUUGCAGGGUAUAGACCCGAAACCCGGUGAUCUAGCCAUGGGCAGGUUGAAGGUUGGGUAACACUAACUGGAGGACCGAACCGACUAAUGUUGAAAAAUUAGCGGAUGACCUGUGGCUGGGGGUGAAAGGCCAAUCAAACCGGGAGAUAGCUGGUUCUCCCCGAAAGCUAUUUAGGUAGCGCCUCGUGAAUUCAUCUCCGGGGGUAGAGCACUGUUUCGGCUAGGGGGCCAUCCCGGCUUACCAACCCGAUGCAAACUGCGAAUACCGGAGAAUGUUAUCACGGGAGACACACGGCGGGUGCUAACGUCCGUCGUGAAGAGGGAAACAACCCAGACCGCCAGCUAAGGUCCCAAAGUCAUGGUUAAGUGGGAAACGAUGUGGGAAGGCCCAGACAGCCAGGAUGUUGGCUUAGAAGCAGCCAUCAUUUAAAGAAAGCGUAAUAGCUCACUGGUCGAGUCGGCCUGCGCGGAAGAUGUAACGGGGCUAAACCAUGCACCGAAGCUGCGGCAGCGACGCUGAUACGUUCGUUGGGUAGGGGAGCGUUCUGUAAGCCUGUGAAGGUGUGUCGUGAGGCAUGCUGGAGGUAUCAGAAGUGCGAAUGCUGACAUAAGUAACGAUAAAGCGGGUGAAAAGCCCGCUCGCCGGAAGACCAAGGGUUCCUGUCCAACGUUAAUCGGGGCAGGGUGAGUCGACCCCUAAGGCGAGGCCGAAAGGCGUAGUCGAUGGGAAACGGGUUAAUAUUCCCGUACUUGGUGUUACUGCGAAGGGGGGACGGAGAAGGCUAUGUUGGCCGGGCGACGGUUGUCCCGGUUUAAGCGUGUAGGUGUGUGUUCCAGGUAAAUCCGGUUCACUUUAACACUGAGGCGUGACGACGAGGCACUACGGUGCUGAAGCAACAAAUGCCCUGCUUCCAGGAAAAGCCUCUAAGCAUCAGGUAACAUCAAAUCGUACCCCAAACCGACACAGGUGGUCAGGUAGAGAAUACCAAGGCGCUUGAGAGAACUCGGGUGAAGGAACUAGGCAAAAUGGUGCCGUAACUUCGGGAGAAGGCACGCUGACACGUAGGUGAAGUGAUUUACUCAUGGAGCUGAAGUCAGUCGAAGAUACCAGCUGGCUGCAACUGUUUAUUAAAAACACAGCACUGUGCAAACACGAAAGUGGACGUAUACGGUGUGACGCCUGCCCGGUGCCGGAAGGUUAAUUGAUGGGGUCAGCGCAAGCGAAGCUCCUGAUCGAAGCCCCGGUAAACGGCGGCCGUAACUAUAACGGUCCUAAGGUAGCGAAAUUCCUUGUCGGGUAAGUUCCGACCUGCACGAAUGGCGUAAUGAUGGCCAGGCUGUCUCCACCCGAGACUCAGUGAAAUUGAACUCGCUGUGAAGAUGCAGUGUACCCGCGGCAAGACGGAAAGACCCCGUGAACCUUUACUAUAGCUUGACACUGAACAUUGAGCCUUGAUGUGUAGGAUAGGUGGGAGGCUUUGAAGUGUGGACGCCAGUCUGCAUGGAGCCGACCUUGAAAUACCACCCUUUAAUGUUUGAUGUUCUAACGUGGACCCGUAAUCCGGGUUGCGGACAGUGUCUGGUGGGUAGUUUGACUGGGGCGGUCUCCUCCUAAAGAGUAACGGAGGAGCACGAAGGUUGGCUAAUCCUGGUCGGACAUCAGGAGGUUAGUGCAAUGGCAUAAGCCAGCUUGACUGCGAGCGUGACGGCGCGAGCAGGUGCGAAAGCAGGUCAUAGUGAUCCGGUGGUUCUGAAUGGAAGGGCCAUCGCUCAACGGAUAAAAGGUACUCCGGGGAUAACAGGCUGAUACCGCCCAAGAGUUCAUAUCGACGGCGGUGUUUGGCACCUCGAUGUCGGCUCAUCACAUCCUGGGGCUGAAGUAGGUCCCAAGGGUAUGGCUGUUCGCCAUUUAAAGUGGUACGCGAGCUGGGUUUAGAACGUCGUGAGACAGUUCGGUCCCUAUCUGCCGUGGGCGCUGGAGAACUGAGGGGGGCUGCUCCUAGUACGAGAGGACCGGAGUGGACGCAUCACUGGUGUUCGGGUUGUCAUGCCAAUGGCACUGCCCGGUAGCUAAAUGCGGAAGAGAUAAGUGCUGAAAGCAUCUAAGCACGAAACUUGCCCCGAGAUGAGUUCUCCCUGAGACUU
This 2154-nucleotide ribosomal RNA is filed under the name Salmonella enterica subsp. enterica serovar Typhimurium. Its description in RNAcentral is "partial 23S ribosomal RNA". It matches the Rfam family "Bacterial large subunit ribosomal RNA", at positions 690 to 2823 of the family's 2925-position model. The record is from RNAcentral. Lineage: Bacteria; Pseudomonadati; Pseudomonadota; Gammaproteobacteria; Enterobacterales; Enterobacteriaceae. RNAcentral also lists the same sequence under 1 other name.